AGGCACAUCCCCUUGAAUAUGUCGGGUUAGAGCAUCCAUCACCAAGGCAAACAAGAGAGGGCUAAGCGCCGAUCCUUGAUGAAGCCCCAUAACCAUUGGAAAAUGGUCUGAGUCACACAUGACUCCUGAUGCAAGCCUCCACUUUGACCACCCCGCUCCUAUACGGUGGGUGAGUCCCCCUGAAUCACCGACCCUAGAUAUCUGACACUGUCCCUCUUGGCGAUGACCUGAGAUCCAAUCAUCACGUCCCUGUCUACCUCGCUCGGCUCGGUGCUAAACUUGCACUCCAGGUAUUCUGUCUUAGAUCUGCUUAAUUAGAAACCCUUAGACUCGAGGGCCUGUCUCCAUACCUCUAACCUCUCAUUAACACCGACCCUCGUCUCGUCUAUCAAGACUAUGUCAUCAGCAAAUAGCAUACACCAAGGCACAUUCCCUUNNNN
This 440-nucleotide long non-coding RNA is filed under the name Nicotiana benthamiana. Its description in RNAcentral is "long non-coding RNA (NBEN_LNC031659)". The record is from RNAcentral. Lineage: Eukaryota; Viridiplantae; Streptophyta; Magnoliopsida; Solanales; Solanaceae.